RNAcentral lists this ribosomal RNA (492 nucleotides) under uncultured bacterium. RNAcentral describes it as "partial 16S ribosomal RNA". It matches the Rfam family "Bacterial small subunit ribosomal RNA", at positions 29 to 507 of the family's 1533-position model. The record is from RNAcentral.
AGUGAACGCUGGCGGUAGGCCUAACACAUGCAAGUCGAACGGCAGCACAGUAAGAGCUUGCUCUUACGGGUGGCGAGUGGCGGACGGGUGAGGAAUACAUCGGAAUCUACUUUUUCGUGGGGGAUAACGUAGGGAAACUUACGCUAAUACCGCAUACGACCUACGGGUGAAAGCAGGGGAUCUUCGGACCUUGCGCGAUUGAAUGAGCCGAUGUCGGAUUAGCUAGUUGGCGGGGUAAAGGCCCACCAAGGCGACGACCCGUAGCUGGUCUGAGAGGAUGAUCAGCCACACUGGAACUGAGACACGGUCCAGACUCCUACGGGAGGCAGCAGUGGGGAAUAUUGGACAAUGGGCGUAAGCCUGAUCCAGCCAUACCGCGUGGGUGAAGAAGGCCUUCGGGUUGUAAAGCCCUUUUGUUGGGAAAGAAAAGCAGCAGGUUAAUACCCCGCUGUUCUGACGGUACCCAAAGAAUAAGCACCGGCUAACUUCGUG